GAUGAACGCUGGCGGCGUGCCUAAUACAUGCAAGUCGAGCGAACAGAUAAGGAGCUUGCUCCUUUGACGUUAGCGGCGGACGGGUGAGUAACACGUGGGUAACCUACCUAUAAGACUGGAAUAACUCCGGGAAACCGGGGCUAAUGCCGGAUAACAUUUAGAACCGCAUGGUUCUAAAGUGAAAGAUGGUUUUGCUAUCACUUAUAGAUGGACCCGCGCCGUAUUAGCUAGUUGGUAAGGUAACGGCUUACCAAGGCAACGAUCCGUAGCCGACCUGAGAGGGUGAUCGGCCACACUGGAACUGAGACACGGUCCAGACUCCUACGGGAGGCAGCAGUAGGGAAUAUUCCGCAAUGGGCGAAAGCCUGACGGAGCAACGCCGCGUGAGUGAUGAAGGUCUUCGGAUCGUAAAACUCUGUUAUUAGGGAAGAACAAAUGUGUAAGUAACUGUGCACGUCUUGACGGUACCUAAUCAGAAAGCCACGGCUAACUACGUG
Molecule: ribosomal RNA, 497 nt
Filed under: uncultured bacterium
Lineage: Bacteria
Description: partial 16S ribosomal RNA
Rfam family: Bacterial small subunit ribosomal RNA
Source: RNAcentral